Molecule: transfer RNA, 88 nt
Filed under: Treponema sp.
Lineage: Bacteria; Pseudomonadati; Spirochaetota; Spirochaetia; Treponematales; Treponemataceae
Also listed under: 1 other name
Description: tRNA-Ser
Rfam family: tRNA
About the family: Transfer RNA (tRNA) molecules are approximately 80 nucleotides in length.
Source: RNAcentral
GGAAAGAUGCGAGAGCGGUCGAUUCGGACGGUCUCGAAAACCGUUAUACCAUUUUUUGGUAUCGGGGGUUCGAAUCCCCCUCUUUCCG